UACGGAGGGCGCGAGCGUUAAUCGGAAUUACUGGGCGUAAAGCGCGCGUAGGUUGUUGUGUAAGUUGGGGGUGAAAUCCCACGGCUCAACCGUGGAACAGCCCUUGAUACUGCGCGACUUGAAUCCGGGAGAGGGUGGCGGAAUUCCAGGUGUAGGAGUGAAAUCCGUAGAUAUCUGGAGGAACAUCAGUGGCGAAGGCGGCCACCUGGACCGGUAUUGACGCUGAGGCGCGAAAGCGUGGGGAGCAAACAGG
Molecule: ribosomal RNA, 253 nt
Filed under: uncultured bacterium
Lineage: Bacteria
Description: partial 16S ribosomal RNA
Rfam family: Bacterial small subunit ribosomal RNA
Source: RNAcentral